Tripterygium wilfordii is the source of this 1672-nucleotide long non-coding RNA. RefSeq lists it as uncharacterized. The transcript has 5 exons. The record is from RefSeq and is a predicted model, not a curated record. Lineage: Eukaryota; Viridiplantae; Streptophyta; Magnoliopsida; Celastrales; Celastraceae.
GCGGAGUGAAAUCUUCUCUUGGAGGGAAGCGAGUGUAGGUCAUGGCAUCGCCGCCUUAGUGGAUCGGGAAAGAGAUAAUUUUGGAACAUGGAUAUUUUGCACAAAAACUCAAAUGCUGGCAGCAAAGGCCUUAGUUAACAGAGCAGUCUUUUGGUUGAACCACACAACUCCAAUGACCAUUGCCACGAAUGCAAGCAGCCCUGCAGCACCUCCAGCUAUGGUCGCAUACUUUGACAUAUGUCUCAUUUCGGGAAGCGAUAAGGCCGAUAUUGAGUAUCCACUUGGGAAAUAGAGACUUGACAGAGAUCAAUGCUGCUAAAAUCUAAAUAAGGAAAGAAGGUGAAUUUGGAGACAAACAGAAUAACUCAAGCAGUCAAGCAGAAGAUAUUACCCUGUCUUGUACUGCUGAUGAAUCCAUGUUGGCUCAAAUCCUGCAUUGGUUGUCAAGACCAAGUGUGUUUGCUUCACAAUUAACUUCCUCGGACAGAAGGCAAAGUGCUCUGGAUGUAUGUAAAAAAACUUCCACGUGGACAUGUUUUGAACUUAUACUGAGACCAUCUUUCAAGCUUAGUAGCAUCUCUUUGUGGAAUCUCUAGUCUAUCUAUAACCUAAAAAAAAAUCAAAGCCCAUGUGGGAAGUUGUUACCAACUGUAAAUAUUAUCAUUUUUACUAUAAAGAUGGGGACACUUAUGAAAAAAAAAACUCCUCCUCCCGUGCAUAAUGCUCUCACAAUGGGCGGAGGAAAGUGUCUUUAGUAGGAGAUAUAAUUACGGAAGGGGGAUCAAAAGAAAUGUUGUUAUCAUCUCUCAAUUCCAAGUCCUUUUUGCCCUUUGUCAUCUGAUCUGGAAAGAAGAGAGGACAUUCCCAUUUUAGUACGGUGAGACAGGACUCUUCCUAAGAUGGGGUCAUGACUACGAAGCCAACACAGGACAUCAAAAAGUAAGACUCUCCAGUUUCCAUGGCUACAUGCUGCUGUUUAGGUAUGAAUUUUAGCUGUUUUGGGAAAAUGGGUAAUUGAAUGUUCCUCACCAUUUGCCUGUUUUUUUUUUUUUUUUUUUUUGUAUAUUAUCAUUUCUUUUGCUUGUGGUUGUUGAGCUGUGACUAUGAUCAAGGGUGGGGAAGGUUAUUGAGCUGUACUGUACUACCCCUCCCCCCCCCCCUCAUUUAUUUAGCUUGUCUGUUUGUUUCCCGGUAUUGCAGUGCUUUGUUUGCUGGAAAGUAGUGUAAGAUUGAUGGAAAGGUGAUUGUCAUGUUAUGCAGCUCUGUAUGGUGCUUGAAUACAAGAAAGUAAGAAACCCUUGUCAGAGGUUAAAGACUAGAGAGAGAGAGAGGAAGAUUUCUUAAACAAGAAUGUUGUUUGGUUCUGUUGUCUCAGGCUGACAGCAAGCAAGCAAGUGGUGCUGUUUUUGCAUGGCCUGACUGUAAAAAGACUUGUUUCUAUAUUUCUUGGUUUGAAGACUAACAUACAAUUCUGGGAUAUUUAGCACUUAUUAGUGUUAUUUGUUCUUAUUUGAACAUGUGCAUGUGUAGCCUUUUGGGCAUUUGGAAUUGAUUUGAGAGUCUUGUGGCCAUGGAAAGGUGUUCAUGGUAAGGUUUCAUUCAUCUGAUCUGUGCAUGUAUGUAUGCCUGGAUUGAAAAUGAGAGUUUGUGAAGGGGGACCAUGUUGUUUGUU